Capsicum annuum is the source of this 1653-nucleotide long non-coding RNA. RefSeq lists it as uncharacterized. The transcript is spliced from 2 exons. NCBI's taxonomy places the organism in Eukaryota, Viridiplantae, Streptophyta, Magnoliopsida, Solanales, Solanaceae. The record is from RefSeq and is a predicted model, not a curated record.
AUUUAAUAAUUAAAGUCUUGAUUCAAAUAUAUUUAUCUUAAAAGAUAAUUUAUCUGAAUAAAUAUGUGUUUGAUUUUAUCGAAUCCAGAAGCUCGAGGUUAAAUAAGGUAUUAGUUCAGUUCGAAUUUUGAUUGAAUUGAGCCAAUCUAUUAAAAUUGGUCAUAAUUAAAAUCAAUUGGUCAUAAUUGCGAUGCAAUUGGCCAACUGAUUUUCAAUUGACCAAAACUUAAAUGAAUUGGCCAAAUCCCCAAAUAAAACCCAAAAUUCUCAAUUACCAGCCCAAUAAAAUAACCCAGCCCACACCCUUAUUCUCUUAAACAGCAAAACAACACCAAUAUCAACCUCACCAAACAACACGGUCUCAACCACAAAAACUCAACCUUAUACCCGAUCUCCAACGUACAAACAACCAAAAAUGGCGCACAACUCCAGCAAACGAACGACCUCAACCCGAAUCCAAUCGAACCCGACCCUACCAGCUCGAAAUCCACCCGAAAUCAACCAGUUCGCAGCCCUCCUCAUGUGUCUCAUGCGAGAAAACCCUCGAAGCUUCCAGAAUCCGAUGAGCUGUCCCCCUAACGGCUCAACCCCGUGAUUCUCGGGAUAAUAGGUACGAUUUCGUACACGUUUGGAGGAUUUUCAUUGGUUUAGGGGUGUAUUCCGUUGGUUUCUCUUUUCUAUUGGUCCACGAUUUUCAAUCCGUUUUGGGAAGAAUCCAAAAAAUGGGGGCACCGUGUACUAAGGCCAUCGAGAGAGGACCCUCAUUCUUGUGACUAUAAAAAGCUCAUUCAUUGAGCUGAAAAAGUGUGUGUGUGGGUGGGGAGGGAGAGAUUCUAGGGUUCGGAAAUAAUUCGAGAAACUAGGCUAAGAUUGUUUUGGUUUUCGAAAGAGGGUGAAAAAGCUCAUUCAGUGAGCUGAAAAGAGGGAUUGUUCUUUAUUCUUCCCUUUUGGGUUCGAAAGUUCUUAUGUUCAAAAUUUGAAGGGAAAUUUCUUCUAAGAGAGAGGUAUUUGAAAGGAGGAAAAAACUGAGGGAGGUGGAAGAAGAAAUUUUGAGAAUGAGCGAUUCCUUUGAUGAAGUUUUCUGGUUUCCCUUCUUCUUCUUUUGAAACUUGCUCGUUUAAACGGAAGACCUGAAGGUUCGUCGACUGGUCGUAACUUCCGAAUUGACAGCGACGUUAUUCUCUGGUGGUGAUCGAGAUUCCGUCAAGAGCUCGAGUCCCGUUUUGCUGCCCUGAAGCAGAGACCGGAUGGACUCUUUCCCCUUGCAUCUAUUAAUGGGACACCGAGGCCCACCAUGUCUAUCGAGUCAGGCCCGAAUAAAAGCCCAAAGUCGAGCAUGUAGCAUAUGGAUACGAGAAGUCGAAAGAAGAACAAAUGGAUUAAAGUCCUAUCAUUUAAAGCGGCUACGAGACCCCAAAAUCUCAUUUAUUAUUUUGUUUAUUUACUUAUUGUCGUCUUCAUUUAUUUAUUUAUUUCCUUAUUUAUUUAUUUGGGCCUCGAUUCCAAAGUUGUACUUAAUACAGGAGAAGCGAGACUCGAGCUAAAGGCUCGAAAACAUAAAAUUAGGACAGGUGGAAGACCGGCUGAAAGCCCAAUAUCUAGAUUAAGACAGGAUUGUCGAUUUGGGCCUAAUGACUCAAGUCCUUCUGCUUC